RNAcentral lists this ribosomal RNA (391 nucleotides) under Chloroflexota bacterium. RNAcentral describes it as "bacterial SSU rRNA". It matches the Rfam family "Bacterial small subunit ribosomal RNA", at positions 1 to 389 of the family's 1533-position model. The record is from RNAcentral. Lineage: Bacteria; Bacillati; Chloroflexota.
UGUACGGAGAGUUUGAUCCUGGCUCAGGACAAACGCUGGCGGGGUGCAUGAGACAUGCAAGUCGAACGAGGUGCCAUCGGGCUUGCUCGAUGGUUACCUAGUGGCGGACGGCUGAGUAACGCGUAGGUGACCUACCCGGAAGUGGGGAAUAACUGCCCGAAAGGGUGGCUAAUACCGCAUGUGGUCGGCGAUUCGAUUCGCCGUCUAAAGGAGCAAUUCGCUUCCGGAGGGGCCUGCGUCCGAUUAGCUAGUUGGUGGGGUAACGGCUCACCAAGGCGACGAUCGGUAGCUGGUCUGAGAGGAUGAUCAGCCAGACUGGGACUGAGAACGGCCCAGACUCCUACGGGAGGCAGCAGUCGGGAAUUUUGCCCAAUGGACGAAAGUCUGAGGC